AACGAACGCUGGCGGCAUGCCUAACACAUGCAAGUCGAACGAACCCUUCGGGGUUAGUGGCGCACGGGUGCGUAACGCGUGGGAACCUACCAUCAGGUUCGGAAUAACAGUUAGAAAUGACUGCUAAUACCGGAUAAUGUCUUCGGACCAAAGAUUUAUCGCCUUUUGAUGGGCCCGCGUAAGAUUAGGUAGUUGGUGGGGUAAAAGCCUACCAAGCCGACGAUCUUUAGCUGGUCUGAGAGGAUGAUCAGCCACACUGGGACUGAGACACGGCCCAGACUCCUACGAGAGGCAGCAGUGGGGAAUAUUGGACAAUGGGCGAAAGCCUGAUCCAGCAAUGCCGCGUGAGUGAUGAAGGCCUUAGGGUUGUAAAGCUCUUUUACCAGGGAUGAUAAUGACAGUACCUGGAGAAUAAGCUCCGGCUAACUCCGUG
This 433-nucleotide ribosomal RNA is filed under the name uncultured bacterium. Its description in RNAcentral is "bacterial SSU rRNA". It matches the Rfam family "Bacterial small subunit ribosomal RNA", at positions 29 to 507 of the family's 1533-position model. The record is from RNAcentral.